AGGUGGUUAUUGCAGCGGGCUCACCUCUAUCCAUUUCGAACAGAGAAGUUAAGCCCGCUAGCGCAGAUGGUACUGCUAACCAGUGGGAGAGUAUGUCGCCGCCUU
This 105-nucleotide ribosomal RNA is filed under the name Myroides odoratimimus. Lineage: Bacteria; Pseudomonadati; Bacteroidota; Flavobacteriia; Flavobacteriales; Flavobacteriaceae. The record is from RNAcentral.